RNAcentral lists this ribosomal RNA (253 nucleotides) under uncultured bacterium. RNAcentral's name for it is "partial 16S ribosomal RNA". It matches the Rfam family "Bacterial small subunit ribosomal RNA", at positions 524 to 776 of the family's 1533-position model. The record is from RNAcentral.
UACGGGGGGGGCAAGCGUUGUUCGGAAUUACUGGGCGUAAAGGGCCAGUAGGCGGCCAACUAAGUCGGAUGUGAAAUCCCCAGGCUCGACCUGGGAACUGCAUCCGAUACUGGAUGGCUUGAAUUCGGGAGAGGGAUGCAGAAUUCCAGGUGUAGCGGUGAAAUGCGUAGAUAUCUGGAGGAACACCGGUGGCGAAGGCGGCGUUCUGGACUGCAACUGACACUGAUGAACGAAAGCCAGGGGAGCAAACGGG